This is a long non-coding RNA of Ictalurus furcatus (blue catfish), 1338 nucleotides long. RefSeq lists it as uncharacterized. The record is from RefSeq and is a predicted model, not a curated record. Lineage: Eukaryota; Metazoa; Chordata; Actinopteri; Siluriformes; Ictaluridae. The transcript is spliced from 3 exons.
CAUUCGUUUAAAUUGACUAACAAAGUGGGCCUCUUAAAUAAAAAAAGAUUCACAACAACAUUUAUUGUUUGGAUUUUGUACUAAAAUUUGGUAAAAAUAUGGUUAAAAAGAUGAACCUUAAAGUAGUUUAAAUCACAAGAAUGUGUUUUUAUUGGUUUUGGGGCCUUUUUUGCUUUAUUGGGGUAGGGAUAGUAGAGAAUUGACAAGGCAAAAUAGGAUAGAAGACUGGGGGUGUGAUCGGGGAAAAUACCCUAUGAGCUGGGAAACGAACCCUUCACGGUAGGAGAGAAGCAAUUGAUUUGUCACCUUUCUCUACAUUUAGACUCAACAAAGAUUUAACAAAUAAAUAGGUUUUUACAUGAAGAAUGUUUAUGAUUUUCUUUAUUUACACUGCCUAGAGAGUACUUCAAGAUGAGAAGAAACUGUCUCAGUAAAUGUGACUGGGUGGACAUAAAAUGGAAUGGAGGACAAAUUAACCAUUCCACACAACAGGACUGAUACAGCUGUGGAGUGUUUGUCAUGCAGAAGUUGUUGGUGCGUUUCCAAAUAUCCCUUGCCAUUUGACUAUAAACUCAUCCAAGGAGCACAUGGAACAUCUGCGACUGACAAUGGCGGAGGAACUUCUGAAAGCCUCAGUAUUCAAGAGGGGACAUUACUGCUCAUUAUGUGCUGCCUCAAAAUCCCCGGGUGGUGGUGCAAAAACAUUUUGGGUGGGUAAUGUAGCAAUGGUUAUAACAUUUUUAUGGGCACACCAUUUUGUUUACAAGUGUGUGUUGUGUGUGUAAGAGAGUGAGUGAAUGAAAGAGAGAGACUGAGAGAGAUGGUGAGAGAGUGAGAGAGAAACUAAUUGGUUACUGAGCCAUUUGAUAAGAUUACCAUGAUCAUUUUUCAGAUUGAAUGUCACUGCUGCAAAAGGUGGUUUCAUGUGGUAUGCCUUUUUAUGUCAGAGAAGCGGUUCAAAAGGGCUCAAAAGGCUGACUGGAAGUGCUGCCUAUGUAAAUAAUUUUGAAUUCCUUUGGCUCCCAUCCACAAUCUAAACAUGUACAUAAAUAAAUUAAAAGAAAACAAAUAAAAAUGUUUGAAAUAUUAAAACAUUUGUGGAUCAUCAUUUCUUUUAAUUAUUUAAUUAAUAGGACAUCUAUUUUUUUAAGAAAACCAUUCAAUCCAGUACAGGUCAUUUUAACCCGCUUUAUGCAUUUGUGAAGGGUUUUUUGGUUCAUGCAUUGUAGGGUUAAAUAUCAAAAAUCUAAAAGGUGUUUCUCAUAUCUGACACCUAGGUGAACACUUUCCAGUUGGUUUUGUGACUGUACAUUAUUCCCUUCCAAAUGCUAUUGAGCU